CCGGGGCAUCCCGGAGGCAGGAAAGGCUUCGGCCGGACAGGGAUGGGCAUGCGGCGCAUUAGGCAGUAGGCGGGGUAACGGCCCACCUAACCGACGAUGCGUAGGGGUUCUGAGAGGAAGGUCCCCCACACUGGUACUGAGACACGGACCAGACUCCUACGGGAGGCAGCAGCGAGGAAUAUUGGUCAAUGGUCGGGAGACUGAACCAGCCAAGCCGCGUGAGGGAUGAAGGUACAGAGUAUCGUAAACCUCUUUUGUCAGGGAACAAAGGCGGGGACGUGUCCCCGGAUGAGUGUACCUGAAGAAAAAGCAUCGGCUAACUCCGUGCCAGCAGCCGCGGUAAUACGGAGGAUGCGAGCGUUAUCCGGAUUUAUUGGGUUUAAAGGGUGCGCAGGCGGUCUGUUAAGUCAGCGGUCAAAGCCCGGGGCUCAACCCCGGCCCGCCGUUGAAACUGGCAGUCUCGAGUUGGAGAGAAGUAUGCGGAAUGCGCGGUGUAGCGGUGAAAUGCAUAGAUAUCGCGCAGAACUCCGAUUGCGAAGGCAGCAUGCCGGCUCCACACUGACGCUGAGGCACGAAAGCGUGGGUAUCGAACAGGAUUAGAUACCCUGGUAGUCCACGCAGUAAACGAUGAAUGCAGGCUGUCCGGG
This 647-nucleotide ribosomal RNA is filed under the name uncultured bacterium. Its description in RNAcentral is "bacterial SSU rRNA". It matches the Rfam family "Bacterial small subunit ribosomal RNA", at positions 183 to 828 of the family's 1533-position model. The record is from RNAcentral.